This 519-nucleotide long non-coding RNA is filed under the name Setaria italica (foxtail millet). RNAcentral's name for it is "long non-coding RNA (SITA_LNC001442)". The record is from RNAcentral. Lineage: Eukaryota; Viridiplantae; Streptophyta; Magnoliopsida; Poales; Poaceae.
AGAGAGUGAUGCGUUCAUUUACAUCGACUUAGCGCAGGAGCAAGAGAACGGUAUGGUCGUCGAUCUAGUGCAUAAUUUACACCGACUUCCCGGAAACAAAACGAACAACAACAGAGGGUAAAGUAAGAAGGUCGUUACACCCUGCAGGUUUAGUUCUUUCUCUGAUGGGCCGGCCCGCUACACUUUGCAGCCCAUAUAUUUGAGAAAUCUUGGUUGAUCUCAAAGUUCACUUCACUUUAUAUAUCGAGCAUUUCUUGCACCUCCUGUCGCCUCCCUCUCCAUACUUCUCCAGAAAGCCAGUAGAUCAUAAAACUGCAUGCACAUGAUCAGUAAGAAAGCACGGAAUGACAGCAAAUUUAUCGCUGUAAAAGUGUUAAAAUACGGUUACAUACAAACGCUCACCGUUCUGUAGUAGCUGCCUGUGUCCACGAAGAAAACCCGGCGUUGUUCGUCGUCGUCGCCAGGAUCGCUGAACCCUUCAUCGAAGGAACUGGAUCCCAGGCCGUGUUCUUGCUCUGG